Molecule: long non-coding RNA, 2527 nt
Organism: Triticum aestivum (bread wheat)
Lineage: Eukaryota; Viridiplantae; Streptophyta; Magnoliopsida; Poales; Poaceae
Exons: 7
Source: RefSeq, a predicted model, not a curated record
CCCUAGCCCCCCAAUCCAGAGCCGCCACACCUCCCCCCUCCUCCUUCCCUCGUCCGCCACCGCACUCCCUCCCUCCUCCCUCGUCGCCACACCAUCCGCCGUAGCACCGCGCGCUCGUUCUGUCGUCUCAUAUACCAUCGCUGCCGGCCCCUGCCAUGGUGUCACGGCGCUCUUCCUGCGCCCUCGCGUCCGACCUCACCAGGUCGUCGAUCUCGGCCUCAUCGGCUUGCUGCGGCGGCCGCUCUCGACGCCGUCCUUGCGACACGACAACGGCAAACCCGAGCGCGGACAGCUAAUGUGGUGGUGCAGCGGACGGCAGCCUUAGCGGGCGAGCGACGGAGACUGCAACUGGUGCAUGAGCUCGCACCUCAAUGCGUCGGUGCUUGAAUAGCUCGCAUCUUCACGGCCACCAAGUGCACAGGCCAGUAGUUAAAUUUUCUGCGGAUGAGUCCUUGUCGGAUGGAUGGUGACUAACGAGAUGCACUUCUUUGCCACAAGUAAUUUUAAUAAAGGGAUUGUGUACAAGUGUUCAGAUCUUUUCUUGUGAGAAGGAUACACAAAAUCAAGUUUUUUGUCGGUAGGAGAUUUUUUCGCUGUCCAACUGUUCAGUUCCACUGGAACAAGGGGUCCACUGGACUUCUAUUGUUUCCGAACUUGAUGUGGAUAAAAUCAACCAGAGUAUUAUGGUGAAACCAAGUUUCACCACUUGACAACUUACAGGGCCUUUCAAGGAAUUGUUCCUGUCAAAAAUGAGGGGCCAAUGUAUGAUGUUCAGUGGUCUUCUUCAGGUUCUGAAUUUGUUGUGGUCUAUGGAUAUAUCCUUACAUCGUCCUUACAUGAACCAUAACAUUUCUGGUUUAAUGUCUUUGUUUUCUACAACUGUUCCUUGACUAAAUCUUGGUUAGGCCGGCCAGAGCACCAAUAUUCAGCCAAAAAUGCAAUCCUCUUCACGAGCUUGGUGAAGGCCAUUAUAAUACGAUAAGAUGGAAUCCUGAAGGGUGAUCUUUCUGGGACUAUUCAGAAAGAAAUUAGUAGGGAAAACAAAGGCUAAAUGGCAUGUGCGAUGGUCGCCAUUUUCUGAUAGUCACUACAGCUCCAAGGCUUCAAAUAGAUAAUGAGUACAUUUCCUGCAACUUUAGCAUGAUAAUGGAAAUGGUGGAGGAUCCUUACAUGAUUAUCUUCAUAUUUCCUGGUGCAGUUUAAGAAGAUGUGUUGAAAAACUGUAUCAGGUAUGUCGACAGCAUAACAGGUUUCUCUAUAAUCUAUAUCCCUUGUUGGUACUAAAAAAUUAGCGACAUGUCGAAGAAAUAAAUAUGCAAGCCCUCACAUUGCCCUCAUGAUUGUUGCUUCUGAAUUGUACAUGUUGAAUAGAAGCCAGAAUAUCCUGAAAGACUUGGUGACAUUGCUGACCUCACAAUAUCUUUGUAUAGCAUAAAAAUGAAGAAACAAAGAAGUAAUGUUCCAGUAUAUUUGCAGAGGUGAAAUAUUAACGCCAGUUCGAGCGCACCGGCCUCGAUGGCAAGAGACCACUACCAUCAGUGUAGUGGUAUAGCAUACUGUGAGCAAUCAGGAACAAAAACAGGAGGUUUAAUUUUCACAAAUCGGUACUGCAUAUUUUUCAGAAGAUAUGCAUUGUGAUUGAACAUGAGAAAUCAUUUACCUCCCUGUACUUCAAGGUGUGUUCUGCUCUAAAAUGACAAGCACCCAACGAAGUGAGAGCGCAAACCACAUGUUGAAGAGUUAUAUGCCACCUGCUAGCCCGAUGCACAUUUUUGUGAGGCAGUAUAUGAGGCUCCAGUUUGACCGUGGGAGGGAGGAAAGUUACGAAUUGACUAUUUGUCAGAAAAACUGAUGUAUCUGUUUGUUAUUCACCGUUGCUGAUUAAUUUUCAAUUUUUCAUUCUCAGUAAAACUGAUGUGUGCUGAUGGUGGCAGGGAGGUGUGGUGAGGAGAGCAAAUCUGGCAAAUGGCAAUAGAGCAGCAUGCAAGCAAAGUGUACACUCGUGCUAUGUUUUGGAGCCCCGUCGAAAGGUUUGGAGGCCCAGGAAGGUAGUGUUGGGGCGUCCGUCGGCGUGAAUGCGCUUCAAUGACUAGCACCACCGGAGUGGCAAAGAGGUGUAGGGAGGCCGUCGAACAGCCGGGAGAAAGCACCACACGAGGGUCUGAGCAAGCAUACCAGGUUUUGCAGCAUCUGCCCCCGUGAAGGCCACAAGCUGACGACAUGCCCUGAUCGUGGAGAUGCACCUAAACAGCCCCGCAAACCCGGAAAGUGCAAGAACUGUUGAAUGGAAAGGCGCCGCAGGAACACGUGCACACGCCUACUGGGUGGUGCACAUAUGUAGUCUAGAAGAUUUAAAAUUUCGUGUGUAAUGUGUGAUUCAAGAAUUUUCUGGUGUGUGUUGUGAGCCAUGCUCCACGAUUGUUCCUCCAGUGCUUAAUCUUAGUGCUAUUGUAUUCCAUAGUGUUGUAUGGUAAGUCUGUAACUCAACAGAACUUCACAAUUAUGAUAGAAAAAAUGUUGGGCGUGA